RNAcentral lists this ribosomal RNA (646 nucleotides) under uncultured Actinomycetes bacterium. RNAcentral describes it as "bacterial SSU rRNA". It matches the Rfam family "Bacterial small subunit ribosomal RNA", at positions 231 to 885 of the family's 1533-position model. Lineage: Bacteria; Bacillati; Actinomycetota; Actinomycetes. The record is from RNAcentral.
UCGCGGCCUAUCAGCUUGUUGGUGGGGUAAUGGCCUACCAAGGCGACGACGGGUAGCCGGCCUGAGAGGGCGACCGGCCACACUGGGACUGAGACACGGCCCAGACUCCUACGGGAGGCAGCAGUGGGGAAUAUUGCGCAAUGGGCGAAAGCCUGACGCAGCGACGCCGCGUGAGGGACGAAGGUCUUCGGAUUGUAAACCUCUUUCAGCAGGGACGAAGCGAAAGUGACUGUACCUGCAGAGGAAGCACCGGCUAACUACGUGCCAGCAGCCGCGGUAAUACGUAGGGUGCAAGCGUUGUCCGGAUUUAUUGGGCGUAAAGAGCUCGUAGGCGGUUUGUCGCGUCGGAUGUGAAAACCCAAUGGCUUAACCUUGGGCCUGCAUUCGAUACGGGCAACCUAGAGUGUGGUAGGGGAGACUGGAACUCCUGGUGUAGCGGUGGAAUGCGCAGAUAUCAGGAAGAACACCGAUGGCGAAGGCAGGUCUCUGGGCCAUAACUGACGCUGAGGAGCGAAAGCGUGGGGAGCGAACAGGAUUAGAUACCCUGGUAGUCCACGCCGUAAACGGUGGGCGCUAGGUGUGGGGAUUGUUUCCACGAUCUCCGUGCCGUAGCUAACGCAUUAAGCGCCCCGCCUGGGGAGUACGG